GUGCAGAUGUUGCUCACAUUGUCUAGAGUACUGAGGAUGAGGAUCUUAAGAUACAUAUUCACUGAAUAUGUAUUCAUAUUAAUAUUCACGGAUUCCCACUUUCGCAAUAAUGAUUGUCUCCACAUAUAAAAUGUGAGUUAUGUUAUAUUAUGAGAGUCAUGUAAGUUAGGUAUGUUAUUUUAUUUAUCAUAUUUAACAAGUCUACUCAUUAACGAGAACAAGCGCAUAUAUAACAGAUGUAUGCACUCAUAAAGAUCUCAUCAAGAAGAUCACAGAUAGCAAGUUCCAGUUUUUAAUGGCUGGGAAAUGGAAUUAUGCAACUUCAACCUUGUCAGAAGAUUUGCAAUUCAAUAUGUAUUAGCCCAGCGUUCUCAUCCAAGUCUACAAAUUUGAAUACAUGCACAGAAUUGCGUCCUACGUACGAGACGUACUUCGAGUUACUGUACUUAAGAAUCCCUUGUUAGUUACGUUUAUUUCCUUGUGGAUCCCGAUUCUCUUAGAGGUAAAGUACCGACAAGGCCUUAAAAAUCCACGACUACGCAUUAUUCUUGCCCAGUAUAAAAUUCAAACUCCUUUAUGCGGUUGGUGAAAUUGUAAAUUUGUAGGCUUCCAAAAUCGAAAUGUAUCAACAAGUUAGUUUCCUGCAUGUAAUGGGAUUCCUGGGUUAUUUUCAAUACCUCAUUAUCUUGGCAAUUACGUACAGAAUAUUCAAUCAAGGAAAUAAUGAAGCAUCGUGUCAAAUAUAUGUAUACAUAUAUAUUGCAAAAUUUGCAAUAUAUAUAAUCAUUCUGUAGCAUUUAAUGCUACAGAAUGAUUAUUAUAUUAUUUAUCUAUGAAGUUAAUCAAGCAUUGAACGAGUUCUCGAAUCUGUUUCAAUAUCAUGGUAAUACCGAAAUGCCGAAAUACCAAAAUUCUGGAAUUGCAACAUUGAAAAACUGCUAUACUUGCAGUAAUCAAUUGCAGUAAUGCAGUAAUCUAAUACAUUGAAGGGAUGCGUUAGCGACUAACAGACACACAGACAGAGAAUGGACUGGUCUUAUAUAUGUUUACAGAAGCCUUAAUCUUUCCAGUAAGACGGCUAAGCUUUAAGAAGAAGUUAAUGUCAAAUGCAGAAAUUUUUUUGUGGAUCACCUAACGUCACUUUUAGAAAAUUAGUUAAUUAGCAAAAUGAUGGGAAUCAUACAAAAGUAUAUAAAACUAUAUAAAUCCCCCAAUAGUACCACUUACAACUUAUAGGUAAGAGGAAGUGAGAGCGCACGUCACCACUCUCUCUGCCACAUUAAUAAAUUUUUACUUCAAAGUUUUGAAAUAAAUCGGUGACCCCCCACUUCACAAAGUAGUACACGUCCCGGACAUAGUCCAAUAACAGCAGUGCAAAUCGAAAAAGUGACAAAAGUGACCGUCUUGACCGCUUUUUCUGGUCACUACCGAACCUUCCCUUGUGUCACCAUAGCACACCCGCUCAAAGGAAGUGGACUCUCCCAACCAGAUGCUGCAACAGGCGGAGAACCAGGAGCGGAGGAAUACAAAGGGCCACUCACACCAAUCGCACUGCCAAGAACAACCCCCCAAACCGGAAGGAAAUCCUCACACUACUAUCUUGUCUCUUUGAGAGCCAUAUCUCGAGCAUUCGAGAUAAGCCGAGGUUAUAGAGUCCAAUUUUAAACACAUAUUAGAGCACAUUUUAAUUACCUCUCUCCUAUAAGGGCUACCACACUGACGACCCCCCCCCUCCCCCAUAAAAUGUCCCUACCUCCAAGCCCUGCUAUGUCUGUGGAGGAUAUUAUCAAAUUGGCCAAUCCAGCCACCAACGUUAUUAUUUUGGAAGGGACGAGGGAGGACCCUGCCAAUGCAAAAAUUGAUCAUCACCUCGACUUUCUCACCUGGGACCACGAGUCAGCGGAUGGACCUGACUGCUUUCUAUGCGGCGAACGUGUCUUCGAUAUCUCCUACUGUGUCACUUUCAAGGGAGUCAAUUAUUCUGUUAUCUUCAAAGGCGAUCCCAUUGACUACCACACAAAUCCUGACGGCUGGGAAGACGGCGUUAUUCAAUGCACAUUUUGUUUCAAUUAUUUCACAAAAGCCGUUGUAACCUUUAUUUGUCAAAUGUAUCCUAUUUGAAUAUCUUGCAAUCCAAAAGUUGGUCAUGUCCUAAUUGUGUGCCCACGUUUAAAUGUAAAGACAAUGUGAGCACGACCAUUAAUUA
Folsomia candida is the source of this 2206-nucleotide long non-coding RNA. RefSeq lists it as uncharacterized. The record is from RefSeq and is a predicted model, not a curated record. NCBI's taxonomy places the organism in Eukaryota, Metazoa, Arthropoda, Collembola, Entomobryomorpha, Isotomidae. The transcript is spliced from 2 exons.